RNAcentral lists this ribosomal RNA (876 nucleotides) under uncultured bacterium. RNAcentral describes it as "bacterial SSU rRNA". It matches the Rfam family "Bacterial small subunit ribosomal RNA", at positions 615 to 1501 of the family's 1533-position model. The record is from RNAcentral.
UUGGAACUGCCAUCAAAACUUUUUAGCUAGAGUGUGAUAGAGGUAAGUGGAAUUUCUAGUGUAGAGGUGAAAUUCGUAGAUAUUAGAAAGAACACCAAAUGCGAAGGCAACUUACUGGGUCACUACUGACACUGAGGAGCGAAAGCAUGGGUAGCGAAGAGGAUUAGAUACCCUCGUAGUCCAUGCCGUAAACGAUGUGUGCUAGACGUUGGAAAUAUAUUUUUCAGUGUCGCAGCGAAAGCAUUAAGCACACCGCCUGGGGAGUACGACCGCAAGGUUAAAACUCAAAUGAAUUGACGGGGACCCGCACAAGCAGUGGAGCAUGUGGUUUAAUUCGAAGAUACGCGCAGAACCUUACCAACACUUGACAUGUUCGUCGCGACUUUAAGAGAUUAAAGUUUUCGGUUCGGCCGGACGAAACACAGGUGCUGCAUGGCUGUCGUCAGCUCGUGUCGUGAGAUGUUGGGUUAAGUCCCGCAACGAGCGCAACCCUCACUUUUAGUUGCCAUCAUUAAGUUGGGCACUCUGAAAGAACUGCCAGUGAUAAGCUGGAGGAAGGUGGGGAUGACGUCAAGUCCUCAUGGCCCUUACGUGUUGGGCUACACACGUGCUACAAUGGCAUUUACAAUAGGAAGCAAGAUGGCGACGUCAAGCAAAUCCUAAAAAGAUGCCUCAGUUCGGAUUGUACUCUGCAACUCGAGUACAUGAAGCUGGAAUUACUAGUAAUCGCGGAUCAGCGCGCCGCGGUGAAUACGUUCCCGGGUCUUGUACACACCGCCCGUCACACCAUGGGAGUUGGUUCUACCUUAAGGCAAGGUUUUAAACCCUUGACUACGGUAUAGUCAGCGACUGGGGUGAAGUCGUAACAAGGUAACC